UGUAUAUAUAUGUAAGAUAUAUAAUGUAUAUAAAUCUAGAGUGUAUAUGUGUGUAUAUAUAACACAUGUAUAUAUUGCAUGUAUGUACUAUAUGUAUAUAUGUGUAAAUUAUGGAAAUAGAUCACUUAUGUAUAAUUUUUGACUAUUGUUACAUGUAGUUUGCAUAAGUGAGUUUAAUGUUUUGGUUUAAUUUCUGUGUAAAACAUGUAAUGUUGUGUUUAUUGUAAUUUUCAAUUAUUUUUCUCUAAGUUUGAUGUUAAUGCAUUACAACAGUAGUAGAAUUUUCUGUAUUAGUUGAUAAGAGUAGUAUUUAUGAGUUUAAUGUUUGCAUAGAAGCUGUGUUUAUCUUUUGGUUUUGAUGUUAUUUGCUUGUUGUGCUUUUGCAUAUGUUUGACAUUUGGAUUUGUUCAUUAUUUAAUUCCUUUUUUCCCUUUCCUUGUUAAAAUCCCUAGAAUAAGUUAGUAUUAGAUAGAUUGAUAGUUGAGUGUAGGUUGUUUAUUGUUUGUUGUUUUGGGUAGAUAUCUUAGUUUAGGUAAUCUGUAAGUAAUUUAGGUUGUACACAAAUGCCAAAAUAGUGUUUUCAACACAAUUUGGGCUUUGUGCAAAGGGGGGAUUAUUGCAAUGUAAUGCUUAGUGCAUAAGCAUGAUUGACAGGAAGAGAAUCUUCAGAGCUGGCAGGGGAAAGAUUCCAAAUGGUUGAGGUGACAAUUUACUGGUCUCUCUUGGGGGUUGGCAGCUACCAAAGAAGCUGGAGGUGUCUGAUCUGUGCUCCUGUGGACAUCUUUGGAUCAUCUUACAAGCAGCCCUCUGAAGCAGGAGUGGAUAGGAGUUUUUCAAUACCCUUAGAUGGACUAAGGGACAAUAUUGAGAGCUCCUGCCAUUCUCUGGACCACCUAGGACUUCUUAUCUGGACUCCAGUCUCUCCUUGCCAAAAGACUCUAUAUAUUCCAGAGCUGGACUCAAUUAGGAAUGACCUGGAGAAGGAAAUGGCAAAUCAUUCCAGCAUUAUUGCAAAGAAAACCCCAAAUGGUGUCAUGAAGAGUCAGAUGUGACUGGAACAACUCAACAACACUUGGUAGACUGCUGAAACAAGAAUGAAGGGGAAGAGAUCAAUUUGCAACUUUUUGGCAUGGAUGUUGAAAAAUAUUUGCUGUGUAGUUCUUUUUGUUAUAGCAAAGAACUGAAACUAAAGGAAUGCCCAUCAACUGGGGACAAAUUAUGAUGUAUAGAUGUCAUGUAAUAUUAUUAGACUGUAGAAAUAAUGAAAAGGAUGAAUUGCAGUGAAAUCUGGGAAGACUUUUAUGAGCUGAUGCAGAGUGAAAAAAAUAAAACCAGGAGAAUAAUUUCUGUAAUAACA
Molecule: long non-coding RNA, 1357 nt
Filed under: Monodelphis domestica (gray short-tailed opossum)
Lineage: Eukaryota; Metazoa; Chordata; Mammalia; Didelphimorphia; Didelphidae
Description: lncRNA (ENSMODG00000040644.1)
Source: RNAcentral